RNAcentral lists this ribosomal RNA (413 nucleotides) under uncultured bacterium. RNAcentral describes it as "partial 16S ribosomal RNA". It matches the Rfam family "Bacterial small subunit ribosomal RNA", at positions 360 to 773 of the family's 1533-position model. The record is from RNAcentral.
AAUAUUGCGCAAUGGAGGGAACUCUGACGCAGCGACGCCGCGUGAGCGAUGAAGGNCUNNGGAUCNUNAAGCUCUGUCCUUGGNNNNNAAUGCUGUUGACGAAACAGCUUGACGGUACCCGAGGAGGAAGCCCCGGCUCACUACGUGCCAGCAGCCGCGGUAAUACGUAGGGGGCAAGCGUUGUCCGGAAUUAUUGGGCGUAAAGUGUGCGUAGGCGGCCUUUUAAGUCAGAUGUGAAAGACCACGGCUUAACCGUGGGGUUGCAUUUGAAACUGGAGGGCUUGAGUAUCGGAGAGGGUAGUGGAAUUCCCAGUGUAGCGGUGGAAUGCGUAGAUAUUGGGAGGAACACCAGUGGCGAAGGCGACUACCUGGACGAAAACUGACGCUGAGGUGCGAAAGCGUGGGGAGCAAAC